This is a long non-coding RNA of Myxocyprinus asiaticus (Chinese sucker), 278 nucleotides long. RefSeq lists it as uncharacterized. The transcript has 3 exons. The record is from RefSeq and is a predicted model, not a curated record. Lineage: Eukaryota; Metazoa; Chordata; Actinopteri; Cypriniformes; Catostomidae.
CUUCCCAGAGGCCAGGGACCAAUGAUGGCACUCAGAAAGAGUCUUUUAUCUGACUGUAGUGUGCUGGAAUAUCUGAAUCAACAGGGAGAAGAAAAAAACAGACCUGCAACAAGUUGAGAACUGCUAUCAAAAGAGGUGACAUUAAAUGAUGGCGGUGGGAGACCUGAAAAGGCACGCCAGAGCGUCAGUGAGAGAAGAGAGUGACCAGAAAGCAUGACGGCACUGAGAGAGUGUUAAUGAUUUGGAGUGCUUUCAUUUAUUUAAAACGUUUUCUUUAU